UCAACAAAAGAAAAAAGAAAGCUUCCAAUCUCAUUUUAUCUCCAUUACUUUCUACACCAAAAUUGGGUCCCACAACCCGGUUCUUUGUCUAGAGGAUAGCAGUUGAGUACUAGUGGUGGUCUCGGGUAGAAUUGGUAAGAAGACAUCAAACCUUUUGAAAGCUUCAAAGGUAAUACUUCUUAAAACCCUAAUUUGAUUAGUUUAUGGUUAGAUGUUAAUUGUGGCAAUUAGGGUAGAAAUUCGAUUCUUUUUCCGCUGUGCAUGAAUUGGUUCUAUCAAUUCUCUCCAGUAACAGUUGAAGUCUAUUGACUACUAAUAGUAUUGAAUUUUCAAUUUUCAAUUUUUACACAAAUCUCUUUACAAAGAAGGAUGGCUCAUGGUUCUUACCCACAAAAUGUUAAGUAGAGUCUAAUUUCUACUAAUAAUAUUUCUGCUCUUGAAGACCUAUUUUCUGAAGAGGAGGUUUGAACUAUUUCUUCUCUUGGUGCUAAUAAGUCCUUCUGUUUGGAUGGUUUUACAGCAAAAAUUUUCAAAUUUUUUGGGACUACUUUAAAAUGUCCUAUAUUAUGAAUGUGGUUCACGAUUUCUUUGGCUUUGAAAUGAUCAAUGUCUCCCUGAAUGAAACCUAUAUUUGUCUGAUCCCCAAGAAAAAGGAUCCAAAGGUGGUCUCAGAUUACCGGUCAAUUAUCAUCAUUUUGUGUGCUUACAAGGUUACUUCUUGAGUAUUAUUGAAUCGAUUGAAACAUGUUCUUUCUUCAACCAUUAAUUUGAAUAAACUUGCUUCUGUUGAAGAUAGACAAAUACUAGAUGUAUUCCUUGUGGCAAACGAAUUGGUUGCAUGAAAAAGAGAAUGAUGUGAUUAUUAAACUUGAUCUUAAAAUGGCAUUUGAUACGGCUGAUUGGGACUUCUUAGUUGCAAUUCUUUAGGCUAAAGGCUUUGAAAGGGUUUGGCGUAAGCGGAUAAAUGGAUACGUCUCUAGUGCAAUUUUUUCAUCAUCAUUAAUGGUAGACCUAGAGGUAAAAUUAUCCCCAUUUGUCGUAUUAAACAAGGUGAUCCACUUUCUCCUUUUCUAUUUAUAUUGGUUAUCGAUUGCUUAAGUCGUCUGUUGAACUACUGUCUAUCUAAAAACUUGAUAGCCACUCCCCCUAUUGGUGCUUCUAGUUUUAUACUGAAUCACUUUUAAUUUGCUGACAAUAUUUUGCUCUUUUCCACUAUUGAUCGUGCUACACUUACAUGUUUGUUUGAGGUUAUUUAUGUCUUUGAAUAAGCUUCCGGCUUAGGUCUUAAUCUCUUUACAAGUGAGCUUUUAGGCAUUCAUAUCUCUGAUGAUGAUCUAGAUUGGAUGAUGUCUGCUUUUGGGUAUAAAAGGGAACAUUAGGUAGCUUCUUAUACUGGAAAUACGUCUAUAGCUUCAAGGGUAGUCGUCAAACAUUUAUAUAAGUCAUUCCUUCAAGCUUGCCUAUGAUAGAAAGGGGUAGACGCGCGUAGCGAAAUACAUAUCAAAUUUUACCCUAUUUGCAUCUAAACUAUUUAGAAAUUAACAAGCAACAUUAUCCUAAUUAAAAGAAAUUAGGGUUAAUAGAAAACUCAUACCUUUGAAGCUUCUCGAUCCUCGUAUUCUCCUCACGAACACGAACCAUAAUUCAUCACUAGUGUUGACUAGCUAUUCUCCAGACUUAGAACUGGAUUGUGAGACCCUAAUGAAGAAAUUGAUAAAGAGAUAUGGAAAUUAGAGGUGUGGCUUAGGGUUGAGAGUUUGAAAAAAAUUUGGAUUUUACCUUUUAAGUCAACAAUACAAAAAUAACCAAAAUUCAAAAUUUUUUACUCAUUUGAAAAGUUGCCCGUAAAUCUCAACACCUAACAUUCCACUAGUCAUUAGUGAAAUUUAGUGGGUUAGGGUUUAGGGUUUUACAUUCCAUGUAGCCAUUUAUCCCAUUAUUUGCUAUUGGGAUUAUCCAAAAAAAUGUUGGAUUUUUUCACUAACUUUAGUCAAAAGGCAAAAUGGUCAUUUGACCAUUCAAGUCAAAGUCAAACUUAGUUCUUUUCAAGUAAAAAGUCAACAUUUUGAAUUUUUACUAUUUUAUUCGUCUUGACUAAUUCCAACCUCCUAAGCAUAAAUCUAGAUUCAUUUUUCAGAAAUUCAAAUCACAUUUGAACAUAUAACGGGUCAAAGUUUAACUUUUAAAAGUUAAAGUCAACUCUUUGACUUUUUACAACUUUGGUCAUUUCCAUUCGAGCUUACGAAUAUGAAUAUGCAUUCAUAUUUUUAAUAUUUAAAUCAUAUUAAACAUAAAACUCUAUCUCUAACUAAUAACCGAUGGCUAUAUCACAUAUAGUUGUUAGUUUAUCUCUCUUUACCUAAUUUGAACAAUUCGAAUUAUUCCAUCAUAUUGUUCUAAGUUUUUUCCAUAUGAGCUAGCAAGGUAACCUAAUGGACCUAUAGAUCAUGGGCUCGAACGAUUCAAGAUUAACUAACUAAACUCUUUUAGACUGAGCUAAUCAACAUUUGUUAACUAACGAGUCAUUGCACUAAAGUAUUUUAGAGUGAUGCAAUGUCCAGAAAAAAGGUGAGUUGACCUUGCAGUAUUUUUACUUCAAGGAAGGGCUGAAGAAAGGUGGAUACUUGAAGAGAAUAUGCAAGGAAGGGUAAGCUGGGAGGAGUUCAAAGAAUUAUUUUAUGGUAAAAUUUUCUCCCAGGCUUUUAGAGAUGAGAAACGAGAUGAGUUCCUUUGGAACAAGAGAACUCUCAGUUGCGAAAUAUAAAAAAAAAUUUACCGAGUUGAUUAGAUAUGCAAUGGCCAUUGUGGAUAUAGAAAGAGAGAGAUGUAGAAAGUUGAAAAUGGUUUAAGAACAGAAAUUAGAACUUCUGUCAUGACUAUUGGAGUAAGAUAUGAUUAUGCGGAGAUGGUAGACACGACUCUACGCGUUGAGAAAAACUUGAAAGGAAAGAGAUCAAGUUCAUGAUGAAGUGAAGAAGAAGAAAAAGAUAUUGUUGGAGAUUUUAGCAAGAAUCUACGCCUAUCAUUAGUCAAGAAUCACCUUGGAAUGGUGACAUGAGAUAGAGAUGUGCUAAAUGCAAAAAGAGGUAUUCAAGGAUUUGUAAGUGGAAAAACAUUGUUUGUUUUACGUGUGGAAUCGUAGGGCAUUAUUAGAAUAAAUGUACGAAAAAGACUAAAGUUAACGAGGAAUCAACGCAAACUGAAGUGACGUCCCACUAAGUUCAACAACCUAUAUGAGGAGGCUUUGUGGUAGGCAAGGGAAAAAUGGUUGUGGAUAUAGAAUUUUGAGGACAAAUUUCUUAAAGGAGGGGAGAGUUGUGAGACCCAUGUUUGGAAUAGAAGAGUAAAAAAUUUGACCAAGUAAUAAUUAGGUGUUUUGAGAAGAAGCAUGUGUUUUGAAGUUUGCACUAAGAUGAGGCGAGAUAAAUGACUAUUAAGCAUUUUGAAUUUACCAUACAAAAUGAAACCAGGCAAGGAGAUGUCUAAUCUGACUUGACAAGGGUUACAUGUUAAGCUGAAAGUUAAGUAAGAUUAAGUAAAAUUUUGAGCUUACAUGUGUAAUACCUUAAGUUGGAGCUGGUAGUAUUUUAGAAGCUUUGUGAUGUCUAAUCCAACUUAAGGAUCAAUAUAAAUAGAGGAAGACAACAAAAAGUUAAGGAUUUUAUUCCGUGAAUUUGUGAAAUGAAGUGUUAUUCUGCUGGGUUGCUUCUAGGUGAGAAGAAGAAGAAGUGAAGCUAGACAUUUUGCGAGAAGGGAUAAAUCAAGUCUUUGUGAGUGAUUUUCCAAAGUGUUUGUAUAUUUUUAAUAUUUCAUUUAUGUUUAGAGGUUGGUAAAAGAAUGAUUUUAAAGUAUUUGAAAUGAAAGAUUAUAUUUUAAAGACAUGUUAUUUGUUAAAAUGAAUGAUAAAGUAUGUUUUAAGCAUCAAUAUUAAUCCUAUCAAAGAUCCAAUUGUUAUGUGUACAUAGGGCUAAAGGCAACCAUUUAGAAAAGGCUUGCAUGUGGUGGAGUGAAGUCGGCUAAUGUACAAAAGAUGUGCAUUGUGUUAGGCAGUCCGAGCAACAUGGAUUGAACUCAUAGUAGUCUAAGCACAAGUCAAUGAGUCUUGGAGUAGGGAAUGGUUCAUGUUCUCGACGAAAGAGAUGCAAGACUAAUGUGUGUUUAUAUGAAAUGAUAUUUAUAAAAUGUAUUUCCAUAGGGUUUCUCUGAAAACCUCACCAAGUCUUUUGACUUAUGUUUUAAGUUUUCACUUCCGAGAUGACCAGGCGUUAAGGCCAAUGUUGAAGGGAUAAAAACCCUAUGGCAACAGAAGAAUUUACAAACCAUUUCUCAAAUUAAUUUAAGAAUCUCAAAAUACCACUGGCAAAAU
This 4366-nucleotide long non-coding RNA is filed under the name Cucumis sativus (cucumber). RNAcentral's name for it is "long non-coding RNA (CSAT_LNC001893)". Lineage: Eukaryota; Viridiplantae; Streptophyta; Magnoliopsida; Cucurbitales; Cucurbitaceae. The record is from RNAcentral.